This 253-nucleotide ribosomal RNA is filed under the name uncultured bacterium. Its description in RNAcentral is "partial 16S ribosomal RNA". It matches the Rfam family "Bacterial small subunit ribosomal RNA", at positions 524 to 776 of the family's 1533-position model. The record is from RNAcentral.
GACGAACCGUGCGAACGUUAUUCGGAAUCACUGGGCUUAAAGGGCGCGUAGGCGGGCGGCCAAGUCAGGGGUGAAAUCGUUCGGCCCAACCGGACAAGGGCCCCUGAUACUGGCUGUCUCGAGGGAGGUAGGGGUCGAUGGAACUUCCGGUGGAGCGGUGAAAUGCGUAGAUAUCGGGAGGAACACCAGUGGCGAAGGCGAGUCUCUGGGAUGAUGCUGACGCUGAGGCGCGAAAGCCAGGGGAGCAAACGGG